CUCACUCCAACGCCGGCCAUAAGUUCUGCAUGCCUAAAAUUUCAGGAAGGUCACAUCAAUAGGUCAGCAUGGCCAGAGUUUCAGAAAACAAAGAUAUUUCGUAAGAAGAGGAAUUAAUUCCAGCUCACAGUGAGAACAUUACAAGAGAAGCAAGUUCAUUGUGAAGGGCAAUCAGAUAGAUCCUGACCUCCUGAAUUUGGAAGAAGCCAGAAUGUCAUUGGGCUGCUCUCAAGCUGUUCUCCACCAAGCCUGUGUUUGUGCUCGGGAUUGCCCACUCCCAGGUGCAGGACCUUGCAUUUGGCCUAGCUGAACUUGCUGAGGUUGGCAUGGGCCCACUUCUUAAACCUGUCCAGGUUCCUCUGGAUGGCAUCCAGUAAUGAGAACUAUUUCCAUUGAUCUGCUGAGAGACUGCACCUCAAGCCUUUAUACGUUCAUAUUUAAAGGACUUUUAGUGGAAGUUUCCUGGAUGGCCUUGGAUGUCAGGACAGAAGGUAAAGCAUCCACAGCUUUGUUCAUCCUUGGCAACUACUCAGAGAAGCCAUGAGCUGCACUUGGCCUUUUCUUUCCCAUUGGAUUGUACUUACCCAAGCAUAGUCCCCAGGCAAGGCAAUUUUGUGGUAAAUCCAUGCCAUCAGUAGCACACAGCAAGCACAGUACCAAAUGCCUGUGACUCCAUGUGCAUGAGGGCUCAGCAAGAGUCUUCAUCUGCAU
Molecule: long non-coding RNA, 711 nt
Organism: Gallus gallus (chicken)
Lineage: Eukaryota; Metazoa; Chordata; Aves; Galliformes; Phasianidae
Source: Ensembl